UGCCCCAGUAACGGCGAGUGAAGCGGCAACAGCUCAGAUUUGGAAUCUGGCCCCCCCCGGGGGCCCGAGUUGUAAUCUGGAGAGGAUGCUUCUGGCGCGGCGCCCGGCGAGUUCCCUGGAACGGGACGCCGGAGAGGGUGAGAGCCCCGUACUCCGGGCCGCCUAGCCUCUGCGAAGCUCCUUCGACGAGUCGAGUAGUUUGGGAAUGCUGCUCUAAACGGGAGGUAAAUUUCUUCUAAAGCUAAAUACCGGCCAGAGACCGAUAGCGCACAAGUAGAGUGAUCGAAAGAUGAAAAGCACUUUGAAAAGAGGGUCAAACAGUACGUGAAAUUGUUGAAAGGGAAGCGCCCGUGGCCAGACUUGCGCCCCGCGGCUCACCCGGCGGACCCCGCCGGGGCACGCCGCGGGGCGCAGGCCAGCAUCGGCUUCCCCAGGGGGACAAGGACGGCGGGAACGUGGCUCCUCCGGGAGUGUUAUAGCCCGCCGCGCCAUGCCCCUGGGGGGGCCGAGGACCGCGCUUCGGCAAGGAUGCUGGCGUAAUGGCCACCGGCGACCCGUCUUGAAACACGGACCAAGGAGUCAAGCAUUGGGGCGAGUGUCUGGGUGGCAAACCCGCACGCGAAAUGAAAGUGAACGCAGGUGAGAGCUUCGGCGCACCACCGACCGAUCCUGAUGUCCUCGGAUGGAUUUGAGUAAGAGCCCCACCGCUUGGACCCGAAAGAUGGUGAACUAUGCCUGAAUAGGGUGAAGCCAGAGGAAACUCUGGUGGAGGCUCGCAGCGGUUCUGACGUGCAAAUCGAUCGUCAAAUUUGGGCAUGGGGGCGAAAGAC
RNAcentral lists this ribosomal RNA (830 nucleotides) under Dryadomyces quercivorus. RNAcentral describes it as "eukaryotic LSU rRNA". It matches the Rfam family "Eukaryotic large subunit ribosomal RNA", at positions 76 to 931 of the family's 3401-position model. The record is from RNAcentral. Lineage: Eukaryota; Fungi; Ascomycota; Sordariomycetes; Ophiostomatales; Ophiostomataceae.